RNAcentral lists this ribosomal RNA (154 nucleotides) under uncultured Tuber. RNAcentral's name for it is "5.8S ribosomal RNA". It matches the Rfam family "5.8S ribosomal RNA". From Rfam's summary of the family: 5.8S ribosomal RNA (5.8S rRNA) is a component of the large subunit of the eukaryotic ribosome. It is transcribed by RNA polymerase I as part of the 45S precursor that also contains 18S and 28S rRNA. Lineage: Eukaryota; Fungi; Ascomycota; Pezizomycetes; Pezizales; Tuberaceae. The record is from RNAcentral.
AACUUUCAACAACGGAUCUCUUGGCUCUCACAUCGAUGAAGAACGCAGCGAAAUGCGAUAAGUAAUGUGAAUUGCAGAAUUCAGUGAAUCAUCGAAUCUUUGAACGCACAUUGCGCCCCUUGGUAUUCCUUGGGGCAUGCCUGUUUGAGCGUCA